This 421-nucleotide ribosomal RNA is filed under the name uncultured eukaryote. Its description in RNAcentral is "bacterial SSU rRNA". It matches the Rfam family "Eukaryotic small subunit ribosomal RNA", at positions 592 to 1018 of the family's 1831-position model. The record is from RNAcentral.
CAAUAGCGUAUAUUAAAGUUGUUGCAGUUAAAAAAGCUCGUAGUUGGAUUUCUGGGAGGGUGCCAAUGUCCGUCGUCGUACGUGUUGCAGCGGCGCCCUUCCAUCCUUCUGUUAACGACUUUGGGCAUUCAUUUGCCGGAGUCGGGCUCAGAUAUUUUACCUUGAGAAAAUUAGAGUGUUUCAAGCAGGCACACGCCUUGAAUACAUUAGCAUGGAAUAAUAAGAUAGGACCUUGGUUCUAUUUUGUUGGUUUCUAGAGCUGAGGUAAUGAUUAAUAGGGAUAGUUGGGGGCAUUCGUAUUUAACUGUCAGAGGUGAAAUUCUUGGAUUCGGUCAAGACUAACUUAUGCGAAAGCAUUCACCAAGGAUGUCUUCUUUAAUCAAGAACGAAAGUUGGGGGAUCGAAGACGAUCAGAUACCAU